GAUGAAGAACGUAGCGAAAUGCGAUAAGUAGUGUGAAUUGCAGAAUUCAGUGAAUCAUCGAAUCUUUGAACGCACAUUGCGCCCCACGGUAUUCCGUGGGGCAUGCCUGUUCGAGCGUCAUUUACCCCCUCAAGCUCCGCUUGGUGUUGGGCGUCUGUCCCGCUUCGCGCGCGGACUCGCCCCAAAGGUAUUGGCAGCGGUCGUGCCAGCUUCUCGCGCAGCACAUUGCGCUUCUCGAGGCACCGGUGGGCCCGCGUCCAUCAAGCUCACCCCCCCAGUUUGACCUCGGAUCAGGUAGGGAUACCCGCUGAACUUAAGCAUAUCAAUAAGCGGAGGA
Molecule: unclassified non-coding RNA, 337 nt
Filed under: soil metagenome
Description: partial contains 5.8S ribosomal RNA, internal transcribed spacer 2, and large subunit ribosomal RNA
Rfam family: 5.8S ribosomal RNA (bases 1-120)
Source: RNAcentral